UGAGUUCGCCGGGCGACCGCCGGGAGCAAUCCUGGAGGAAAGUCCGGACUCCACAGGGCAAGGGUGCUGGGUAAUACCCAGGCGGCGCGAGCCGAUGGAAAGUGCAACAGAAAGCAAACCGCCAACGCCGCAAGGCACGGUAAGGGUGAAACGGUGGUGUAAGAGACCACCAGCGCGUCGGGUGACCGGCGCGGCUGGUAAACCCCGCCCGGAGCAAGGCCAUGCAGAGAUGAUGACGGCCCGUCGAUCCUCUUCGGAGGUGAAAGUCUCGGGUAGGCCGCACGAGGUUGUCCGGUAACGGCAAUCCCAGAUAGAUGGUCGCUGCCUGCUUGAAGUCGAGUUUGCUCG
Molecule: RNase P RNA, 348 nt
Filed under: Acidimicrobiia bacterium
Lineage: Bacteria; Bacillati; Actinomycetota; Acidimicrobiia
Description: RNase P RNA component class A
Rfam family: Bacterial RNase P class A
About the family: Ribonuclease P (RNase P) is a ubiquitous endoribonuclease, found in archaea, bacteria and eukarya as well as chloroplasts and mitochondria. Its best characterised activity is the generation of mature 5'-ends of tRNAs by cleaving the 5'-leader elements of precursor-tRNAs.
Source: RNAcentral